GUCAACACCACCUCAUAAGAUUACCUGCUGCAGUUGUUCGAGAGAUGUCCUGUUUGCAGCCGAACACGCAGCACAGAGAAAAGCAGCAGGGGGCCCCUCAUCAACAUCAUGCAGACAUGCCUUCACUUAUCUUUGAUGAGGGGCCAGAAGCUGAUCUAUGCUGCUCUGGUAAAGACCUUACCUCCAACCUCACCUCUUGCCUGCUCGCCAACAGUCGUCGUGGGGUGAACAGAACAGAGUUAAGUAGGUUUAGUUUGACCUGUUCAAACUUCAACAUAGUAUAUGUUUGUCUGUCAAAUAUCACCUAUCCCUAACUGCCAUUGGUAACAGAACAGUGACUGUGUGUGUGUUCACCGAGGCAUGAGAUGCAGAGAGACCUGGUACUCAAUAUUUCCACUCAACACAUCCACUAUGAGAUGGACUGGAAAUGCUUUAGCCAGACGACAGCCUCAGUCGUUUGAUGGGGAGACCAUCAUUGGGUAGGUUUUAUCUGACCUGUUCAAACUUCUACAUAGUACCUGUUUGUGUGUCAGAUAUCACCUAUCCUUACUGCC
This is a non-coding RNA of Oncorhynchus mykiss (rainbow trout), 554 nucleotides long. The record is from RefSeq and is a predicted model, not a curated record. NCBI's taxonomy places the organism in Eukaryota, Metazoa, Chordata, Actinopteri, Salmoniformes, Salmonidae.